UAUAUAUUGAUGCGAUCGAGGAUUGGGUUGACAGACCGGACCUCGGGACGAUAUAAUCCGGUGGUCACAGAAUUCCAUUCGUACGUAUAGAGAAGGUGGCGUUCUUCUUCCGACCCCAACGACCUCUCACUCCACCCCAGUUGCCAACCGUCCGUCUGGUCGAACUCAGAUCGCCCCCAUCGUCACCCCCUUUUGGAAGUCGCAGUCACCGCCGGCGACGAGGAUGAGGACGUGCCCCUCUCAAACCCCGAUCGAUCACGAUUUGUGGCAAAGUCGGGUUCGUGAUGCGGCAAUCCAAGACCCUCAAGAUCGGCGCUAACCAUCUUGUUGUACCGACGAUUUUGAUCCAGGAGGAUGCGGGAGACGAUAAGUCAUGCCUGUUACAUUUUGCUGAUCGCGAAGUAGGAGAUGAUCUGCAUCCGCUUCGGCCGUGUGGAAAGUAAGCAUUUCGUUACGAAUUUUCAUCUAUUGGCCGUAGGUUAAUAUUUGGUUUAUGGUUUUGGUUUUCAUUGGGAAGUUUUCUUUUCUUGCUUAUAUCUGUGGUUGCCGAAGUUCUUCAGCCGUAGGAAAAUCCCUAACUUGGUGUUCAAACUACCAAAAUCUUCUACCAACUUCGUUGCUGUUGCAGAUCAUAAUUGUGAAAAUACUACUACCAUAAAAUAUGUAAGCAGUCAUAUAAACUGAACCUCAAUCGAGUUUGCAGAGUUCAUGUGAACUUUUAGGGAGAGCUUUCCAAGUUGGAUCUCAAAUUAUAUUUCUUUCAUGAUUGGAAAAUUGGAGCUUGGAUUAGGCAAGUGGAGGAUUUAUCUAAGAGUUGUUCCUUGAUCCUUAAAAGUCCUUACUGUCUACUGCAUGUAGUUGAUCUGGAAGGGCCUGAACGAGACAGUUUUCAAGGGGGGUGAAGGUCUCUUCUUCCUCCAUCAUAUAUAGAGCAAUUGCCUAUUGUCUCUUGCUAUGAAGUGUUUAAUCGGUCUGAAGGCUGGUGGGGGAUAAGUCACAUAUUGGUUAGCUAGAAAAAAUAAACAUAAUUUAUAUGGUUAAAAAUGAAUUGAAAGUUAGCACUUUGAGCCAUCAAGGCUGGAAGUGGAAUCUGAUUCUUAACUAUUUAUCAACAUUUUGAACAAGGAGAAGCCUUCUCUUUGGUUCUUGCUUACUUCUGUUUGGAAAACUAUUACCCUAAAUAACAAUAUUUUUAAUGUAAAAAUUCCCAUGCAAUUCCUGAGGGAAUUGCAUAUCAUGAAGGUUGCCAAGUAAGGUAAAAUACUUGUCUAUUGUAGCACUAUUGCUGUGGAUGACUAUUGUUGUUCUCUGGGAGUAACCUACAUUUAUAAUAUAAUUAAAAUCUUAUGCGUAGAUUAGCAAUGACAUGUGGCUGUAGUUUAGUGGUUAGAAUUCCACGUUGUGGCCGUGGAGACCUGGGCUCGAAUCCCAGCAGCCACAAAUAUUUAUCGUUUUCUUUUAAUUAUGAUUUUUGAUAUGCUUUAUAGAUUAAAUCGUCAACUUGUUUUGCUUCAAUUAGCAUCCCAGCAGCCACAUUUGCUUGUCGUUUUCUUUCAAUUAUGCUUUUUGAUACGAUUUCUAACUUAAUUCGUGAUUUUUUUUUGCUUCAAUUAGCGUUUUGAUCUGCUUUAUAGCUUACAAGGGUGAGAACUAUAGGAAUAACUUAAUUUUUGACGUUGUUGUCACCUCAACCUUCUCACUGUCAGAUAUGCUGAUACAGCAUAAACCUGUGAAUCGUAGGAAUAAAGGAUGUCACACAACCAUAUCUAUGAACCAAAGCAUGGCCGCGCAUCAGGCAUCCAGUGAAGAAUAUUCGUCCCAAAUAUCUGUGCAUUGCAUCGAUCUCACCACACGCAACUCAUAAAUUCCUUUCGGCUACAACCCACACUGACAACAAAACCCACAUCAUUUCAGUUCUAUUUACGUAAGGAGACAUGAAAAGAUAAAAAGUAUCCAUCUCAUGUGAAUGCGUACAACACCAGAGUGUUCUGGACCCACAGAAAGAGCUACCCUCGACGGCAGCUAGCGAACAGCAAGCUUCCCCCUCCCCACCCUCCCCCACGGCUCUCUCUUGCAUGCCCACCAUCUUCCGCGUUCCAGAACAAGGCCAUGUCUCUUCACUUCGCCAUCUCUCUGCAGCUUCUGUCCUUCAUGCAUCCUGCUCCAUCUUCUCUCACCCUCAAACCGCAGCCCCCGCCGGCUCCGCGGCCACGGACGAGUCGGCGAGCGAAGCCCGGCACAGCGGGCAGCUCGUGUGAGCCUUUAACCACUCGUCCACGCACUCCACAUGGAACGUGUGGCCGCAGCUGGGCAGCACUUUGACCUUAUCCCCCUCCGUCAGGCUACUCAGGCAUAUCGAGCACUGCGCCUCCUCGCCGGCCUCCAAGUCCCGGUGCAGGUGCACCGGGAAGCUGUCGAUGAUCCGCGGAUCGAGGCCUGCUGUGCGAUGCGAUGUCGCGGCCGACGACAUGCUCACCGGGGCGGUUUCGGCCCCCCAUUGCGGACGGUGGCGGCACGCCCACCUCACGUAGAGGCAGAUGAGGGUGAAGAAGAGGAGAAUGGUAAAGGAGAUGAGAAGGAAGAGGAGACCCCGGCCACGGACGUGGAAGUUCUUGUCGUCGAGCGCGUCGUAGUGCCAACGGAAGGGCUGAGCGUCCUGUGCUGCCAUCCUCACCGGUGUUGGUGGUGGUGGUGGAUAUGGAUUCGAGUUUGGGCUUUUAUGAGGGUGGGGAUGGCUCGGCGAGUGGCUUCCAAAGGAUGAAAGCGUCGAGUGGUGCAAGAGGGUUUCGGCCCAUGCCAUGCCAUCCCAUUCACCUCGCUUUCCAGCUUGCCCUUCGUCUCACAUUAAAGAAAAGGGUAGUUUUGGCUCAUCUCAUUCACUGUUGUUGGUGGAGAUGGCGGUGUUUCUACGCAAAGAACGAAGAGCUGGCCAGGGAUGGCAGAGCCGUUCUGCAUGAAGGUUUCUAAUCCCCAGUUUUGGUAUAGGCUGAUACGAAAUAAAACUUCCAAUUAAAGGGCUGUGGCGGUCAGCAAUUAAUUGAGAGGUAAGAAGUCAGGAUACUUCUCGGUCCUUCCAGCUAAUUGCUGAGGGUGCGACAGGAGGGAUUUGGAAGCUUGCUUGUUGUGUAUCGAUUUGCUUCACGCACGCUAUCUUGCUUUAACCCCUCUGUUUGCCAGCACAAUGAGAAGUAGACAAGAUGUCGCUAAUGGUGUUGGGUUGCGCGACGUGAUGAUCACGCGCAUAAAUAAAUUCUUGAAAUAUACACA
Long non-coding RNA from Musa acuminata AAA Group (dessert banana), 3267 nucleotides. RefSeq lists it as uncharacterized. The record is from RefSeq and is a predicted model, not a curated record. NCBI's taxonomy places the organism in Eukaryota, Viridiplantae, Streptophyta, Magnoliopsida, Zingiberales, Musaceae. The transcript has 2 exons.